Prunus avium (sweet cherry) is the source of this 4190-nucleotide long non-coding RNA. RefSeq lists it as uncharacterized. NCBI's taxonomy places the organism in Eukaryota, Viridiplantae, Streptophyta, Magnoliopsida, Rosales, Rosaceae. The record is from RefSeq and is a predicted model, not a curated record.
AAAGAUAAGGGCGCAAUGGCAGCCGUCCAUCGCAUUUAUCCUAUUAUAAAAGUACGUUAGGUUGGGUUGGUUCCUAACCAUUCAACGACUCAAUGUUCUCUCUCUCUUCGCAUCUCUAUGCGCCUCCGUGGUUCCUCUCUUGCAGAUCUGUUCUGCAAGGAUUCUUUUCUCUUCCUUUAUGUCUCGAAUUCGCGUAGGUCUUUUCAAGAUCUACGUUUUCAUGGUGAUUUGAGGCUGUGAAGAUGUUUUGAGCUGCUGGUUCGUAGCUGGUUUUACGAGCUUGAGCUCGUCUUCUUCGUGCUUUGGCUCAGAUUUAGAGUUUCUGAUUGACUAUGAUGGAGUUCAUAGCAAGUCCUCGGAGUUUCCAAGACUUGACCGUUUUGAACCAAAUCCGACGUCGUUUCAGCUGCAGAUCUGGUUCUUCUGGAGUCAAACGUAUGUUUAUUCAAUAUUCGAAUGGCAUAAUUGUAAUUUGAUGAUCGGGAAGCUGAAAGCUGGGGGGUUUAUGGGUGAUUGGGUUGUGCAACGGAUGUAUAAGAUGUCGGGACGAAAGGCUCAGAGGAAGGGUCUGUGUCCUGGACCGAUCUUUGUCAUCCGACCUUUGCCAUGACAGGUGCGCUUGCAUGGCAGGUCACAAAAUACCUUAAUAAAAAAACAGAAACGAUUUUUUGGUUUGGAGGGGAGAUUGCAUGGGGUUUUGCCCAGGGUCUCUCCCUCUGGUGUGUGGUGUGUGCUGCUCUGUGUCGUCCUCUCUUUACUCUGUUUUAUUUUUUGCUCUCCUGCUCAUCCAAGUAUGCCAGAUUGUGGACAGCAACGACGACAAAAUCUCAGCCGUCCAAAGGUAUCGUCUGCCCAAUUCUAUUUCAAUUAAUAUGCAUCCAUCUAUCUAAUUCUAGUACUGAAAUCUGCCACUUGCACAGCCAACUCACGAUCAUGAUUUAAAUUGACAUUCAUCUAAUCUAAUCUAGUCAUGACUAAUUCACAAUCCUCAUGUCCAAUUAAUUAGUCUUAUGCUCGUAGUUAUGGCGCUGCUGUGAAUUGAUAUUGGAUUAAGCAUUUUUAGGCAUAAUCCAAUAUAUUUGGUAACCUCAGAAUUAAUUAUAUAGAGUAAUGUUUUCUAGACAAACGGGUUUCAAGUUUCUGUAAAUAUCAUCUAAUAUAAGAUAUUUUAUCCGUGGAAAAAUUAAAAGGUUUUUUUAAUUAAGAAGUAUAUGAAUGUGCGGAAUUAUGAAACAGAAAUUUCAACUGUCUUUUUAAUUGCUUGGUAAUUUGGCUAAUCAUAAUAUUUUGGGGAAGUUUCAAUUUGUUUACAGUAAUCCAUUUUUAUAUGCUAUCAUGUGCGCGCCCAAAUCUCACAUCCCACCCUUCACUUAUUCAAUUCAUCAUGCAAUACUUUGCAAUCCGUACUUAUAAUACUAAAUCUCAAUACAGCUGCACCAAUUCUUGUCUUUAUUUAAGUACAGUUCUUGUAUGCGCUGAAAUGAGGUUGUGUGGUGGUUCUUGAGUUCUUAUUUGUAAUUUUGUGGGUAUGCACUUCCGAAAUUAUGGUAUAUUCUGGGUUCCCAAGAUUUAUGGAUCCUUUGUAAUAUUAUGUAAUUAUUUUUGCUUUUGGCUGAUAUUGCCUCUAGCAAUGGAUUGUAUUCCCAUUAUAGAUGGUUUGUAGGAGUUUGGCUGCUGGAAGCAAUUUCCUCAGUGAAGCCUGAAUGUUUCUACUCGUUUAUAAACCAGUCAAGACUCUUCUCAAUUACAAGCUGUUUGCGGGAAGGUUCAAGUUCUGUUAGUCUGCAAUAUUUCUCGAAACUUUGAGGUGAAAACUGAAUUGAGUUGAGCUUCGCAUUGCCUUUGUUUUUAAAGUUAUUAUCACUAUUCAGUAUUACUUUAUACAGUAAUCCUUCAUUAAUUGAGUCAUUUCAAGGAUUAUUUGGUAUGGUUAUAUUUAUUCAUGUUAGUAGUUUUAUCUGCCCAUGGAUUACUCUAUCUUUUGUUCAAUUGAAUUAGAUGAAUAAUUUAUACAUCCUUUAUUGUAGUAAAUAUUUAUUCUUUCUCUUUCUAUUUUAUUGGAUAUUUUUUAUAGAUAUUAUUUUUGUAUGCUUGUGUUUCAUGUGGUUGUUUAAUUGUUAGAGAUUGAUACAAUCAGAAUUAGAAAGGAGAAGGUGGGUGAGGUUGGGAUGGAUUAGGAUUGCAGUAGUUGGGCUGGAAGAUGAGUUCAAUGCAUGAGUAGUUGAUAGUCUUUUGGGUUGGGUCGUCUUACCUUCAUUUAUCUGAGUCGCUAAAUAAAUGCGGUAUUGUUUCAAUAACCAAACUAUAGUUUCAUAAAUGCUAGGCUUACCAAAUUUUUGUGCCACAUUGUUUACUACCUCUUUUAUAGAGAUGGGUCCCAUUGUAUUGGUGGGCUCUAUAAGAGUUGUGUUACACAAUGUGGUAUAAAAAUGUGGUAAAGUUUAGCAUUACCCUUUCAUAAGACUUGCCCAAAUAUAUGCUCCGUUGAAGUAAUACUGGUUUCAUGCCGUCCUAGAGAAGUUGCGAGACCAGCGAAUUUGUCAAGUUGAAUCUUUUUGACUUUGAGGAAGUGUUACCUCGGUUUGUAACAUUCUAGAUGUGAACUUUUCUGCACUUUCUGGAAUUUUCUUGGUGUUUGUUUCUCUGAAAUUGGUUUUUAGAAGUUUGGGUAUAGUUUUUAGUAAAGUAGAUCGUUGGGAAGAUGAUACAUACUAACACCGGUGUUUAAUGUAGUUAGGUCCAACAUUAUUGUUGAAAACCCCAAUUAUUUUUUGGGGCGUUUUCUCGGGUCAUUUUCUUGAGAAGAUAUUAUUCACACAGACCCUUCUUGAAAAGAUAUUAUUCACACAAACCCUUCGAUGACUUAACGGCUGUUGUGCUUGAGGAAUAGUUUCACAAAAAUGGAGAGGCUCUGUACUGAGGUAUAAAACAGUGGAGUGCAGUGCUUUCUAUGCUUAAUAGACGCCACACUUCCGAAAUCUACUUUCAACUCUGUGCGGCGGGUAUUAGGUGAGGUAAUUGGUCUUAUUUACAUCUCUAACAUUUUUAAUGAAUGCAAAAUGAAUGCAAUUAAAUGGCUAAUGACCAAGAUUAGAAAUAUAUAAUCAAUCUUAACGUAAAAAUAGAAUACUUAUUGGAGAGUAGGAUUUGCUUUGUCCUGCUGGAAUUGCAAUCCGAAGAUUUGUUUUGAGUGUUUGGUGUCCGGCUGCUGAAUUUGUCAGACUAUUUCUAGGCCGGCCCGUGGGAAAUUGCGUGAAAUCAAAAGAUCUGUAGCUCAAAAAUGGCAGAGCGCUCAAAGUCCUUAUUGGGCUUUCGAGAGGUUGGUGGUUCAAAUCCACCCAGAUCUACCAUCUUUUGUUCGUGCGGUUGGUUUGGUGGGCUGGGUUUCCCUUCUGAAAAAUUUAUACUACGUUUUUGGUCGGAAUUUUAUUGUCAUCUUGUCCCUCCUAUUUCGCUUACAUGUUACCUAACAUUCAAUUGGGGUCUUGGUGUGCAUGGGCUCUUUACGGGUUGUUUUCCCUUAUUAGGAAAACUUGAUGGGCUGCCCAGCUAUUGAGGACCAGGAAAAAGGAGAGCUUCAUUUUCUGUGUUGUGAUGAACUGUUUAUCUUUUGGAUUAUGAAGUCGGGUGUUUAAAGUAAGUCACUUUCCUUUGUAAAUGGAUGACACUAUUCCAAAAAUAAAGAGAAGAGGAGAGAAUGCAAGAUUAAAAAAAUAAAAAAAUAAGUGACUGUUUUUCUUUGUUUUCUUGCCUGACAAAUGUUACAUGAAUCAAAUUGUUUGUUUCUAAAUGAAUAUUUUUGAUCUUCUCCUGGUUAUUUUUUUUUUACAACAGGAGCUGGUUUAUGCAAUGAACUUGGUUUAUCUGGUACUGGAUUGCAUUAUGUAAUUUAUAAACACAUUUCUGCCCCCCUCCAACCGAGGCUAUGUCUUUCUUGUUGCUUUAUUUUAGAAGGUGAGUGGUGUGGUGGAAGAGAGCCGGAUCCCUGGACCCAGUUGUGGCUUUGGGAGGUUGUUGGUCAUUGAAAUUUAUGCUCUUCUUUUAGCCAGUAUAAGAUUUCAUAUCAAUGAUUUGUCUGAAAUUCAAUGCCCAUUUGCCAAAGACCAGAGAGUACAAAAUCAUGCGGGAUGUGUAAGCUCAAACUUAAUGCCUGCAGUCUUAUGUAUCUAUCUACCCACCCAGCUCAUUCU